RNAcentral lists this ribosomal RNA (388 nucleotides) under uncultured bacterium. RNAcentral's name for it is "bacterial SSU rRNA". It matches the Rfam family "Bacterial small subunit ribosomal RNA", at positions 28 to 417 of the family's 1533-position model. The record is from RNAcentral.
GACGAAUGCUGGCGGCGUGCUUAACACAUGCAAGUCGAGCGGUAAGGCCCUUUCGGGGGUACACGAGCGGCGAACGGGUGAGUAACACGUGGGUGACCUGCCCUCAGCUCUGGGAUAAGCCUGGGAAACCGGGUCUAAUACCGGAUAUGACUCCAUGACGCAUGUUGUGGGGUGGAAAGUCUUGUGCGGCUGAGGAUGGGCCCGCGGCCUAUCAGCUUGUUGGUGGGGNGAUGGCCUACCAAGGCGACGACGGGUAGCCGGCCUGAGAGGGCGACCGGCCACACUGGGACUGAGACACGGCCCAGACUCCUACGGGAGGCAGCAGUGGGGAAUCUUGCGCAAUGGGCGAAAGCCUGACGCAGCGACGCCGCGUGAGGGAUGACGGCCU